CCCCUGCCUCCCAUCUUGAUGUCUAAUAGGUCAAUCUUUCAAGAACACUUGUGGGGAGACCUGUGUCCUGGUCUGGAUCAGAGAUGUGAUGUAUUAACUUUCAGAGUCCUCCUUCACCCCGGCCUAUGUUUUACGGCUAGUGAGGGAAGUCUUUCCUGCCAGGAGAUGUUCAUUGAAGUGCAGACUGCUCGGAGCCACACCGCAGGCUGGCAGAGGAAGUGUCUCGGUGUUGCCUUGGCCCGUUCACCCCCUGCCAGGCCAGUAGAGGAGCUGAAGAGUCUUCGCCAUGGUUUGAGAAAAAGCUUAUAGAGGCCUGAGGCUGGAGGCAGGGGGAUCAGUGAGGAGGCUGCAGCAUCAGUCCAGCAUCUCCAAGCCUCUCUCCAAGUUCGCUCCAGGGCUUGCGAGAAACAAAGUGCUCUCCCUCAGCCCCAGCUCCUCGCACACCCAGUGGAAAGAAAACACUUGCUGUAAUUGGAAAGCCCCGAGAAGGUUGAGAGCACUUUUGUUUUCUUCAUCUCUGCGUCCUUAUUUCUUGGAACACUACCUGGCAAACCAUGGGUGCACCAUGCAGCAAGUUAAGGUCGCCGAAGUAGAAUUGCGUAUUAAGCCAGUGUCUCCAUCCAGACUUUUUUUUAGCAAGCAUACCUUAGGAAACUGAACUUCGCUUGAAACUGAAACUACCCUCCCAAAAUCAUCUCCAAGGCUUUCACCCUGUCACCCAGGCUGGCAGGCUGGAGUUCAGU
This 743-nucleotide long non-coding RNA is filed under the name Homo sapiens (human). RNAcentral describes it as "HSALNT0360280". The record is from RNAcentral. Lineage: Eukaryota; Metazoa; Chordata; Mammalia; Primates; Hominidae.